AACAAAUAUUAAAGGCAACGCCUGCCCAGUGAACAAUUAAACGGCCGCGGUACCCUAACCGUGCAAAGGUAGCAUAAUCAUUUGUCUAUUAAUUGUAGACCCGUAUGAAAGGCAAAAUGAAGGCCUAACUGUCUCUUAUAAUAAAUCAAUUAAACUGAUCCCCUAGUAAAAAAGCUAGAAUACACACAUAAGACCAGAAGACCCUGUGAAGCUUUAACUAAACUAUUAAACCAUAUAAUAGCUACUUUCGGUUGGGGCGACCUUGGAAUAAAAAAGAACUUCCAAACAUAUGGCCAUAACCCAUACUAACUAGGCCCACAAGCCACCUAAACGACCCAGUUUUAAACUGACCAUUGAACCAAGCUACUCCAGGGAUAACAGCGCUAUCUUCUUCAAGAGCCCAUAUCAAAAAGAGGGUUUACGACCUCGAUGUUGGAUCAGGACAUCCUAAUGGUGCAGCCACUAUUAAGGGUUCGUUUGUUCAACGAUUAAUAGUCCUACGUGAUCUGAGUUCAGACCGGAGCAAUCCAGG
Molecule: ribosomal RNA, 532 nt
Filed under: Synophis insulomontanus
Lineage: Eukaryota; Metazoa; Chordata; Lepidosauria; Squamata; Dipsadidae
Description: partial 16S ribosomal RNA
Rfam family: Bacterial large subunit ribosomal RNA
Source: RNAcentral